UACGAACUGCGCGAACGUUAUUCGGAAUCACUGGGCUUACAGGGUGCGUAGGCGGCCUACCAGGUCAGGUGUGAAAUCCCACAGCUCAACUGUGGAACUGCAUUUGAAACCGGCAGGCUUGAGUGGACUAGAGGUAAACGGAACUUCAGGUGGAGCGGUGAAAUGUGUUGAGAUCUGAAGGAACACCAGAGGCGAAAGCGGUUUACUGGAGUUUGGCUGACGCUGAGGCACGAAAGCCAGGGGAGCGAACGGG
This 253-nucleotide ribosomal RNA is filed under the name uncultured bacterium. RNAcentral describes it as "partial 16S ribosomal RNA". It matches the Rfam family "Bacterial small subunit ribosomal RNA", at positions 524 to 776 of the family's 1533-position model. The record is from RNAcentral.